CCUACGGGGGGCUGCAGUAGGGAAUCUUCCACAAUGGGCGAAAGCCUGAUGGAGCAACGCCGCGUGGGUGAAGAAGGUCUUCGGAUCGUAAAACCCUGUUGUUAGAGAAGAAAGUGCGUGAGAGUAACUGUUCACGUUUCGACGGUAUCUAACCAGAAAGCCACGGCUAACUACGUGCCAGCAGCCGCGGUAAUACGUAGGUGGCAAGCGUUAUCCGGAUUUAUUGGGCGUAAAGGGAACGCAGGCGGUCUUUUAAGUCUGAUGUAAAAGCCUUCGGCUUAACCGGAGUAGUGCAUUGGAAACGGGGAGAGUUGAGUGCAGAAGAGGGGAGUGGAACUCAAGGUGUAGCGGUGA
RNAcentral lists this ribosomal RNA (354 nucleotides) under uncultured bacterium. Its description in RNAcentral is "partial 16S ribosomal RNA". It matches the Rfam family "Bacterial small subunit ribosomal RNA", at positions 338 to 684 of the family's 1533-position model. The record is from RNAcentral.